Molecule: ribosomal RNA, 327 nt
Filed under: uncultured bacterium
Lineage: Bacteria
Description: bacterial SSU rRNA
Rfam family: Bacterial small subunit ribosomal RNA
Source: RNAcentral
GAUGAACGCUGGCGGCGUGCUUAAUACAUGCAAGUCGAACGAACAUUAAGAGUGCUUGCACUUUUAAUGUUAGUGGCGAACGGGUGAGUAAUACAUAGGCAACUUGCCCCAAGGACUGGGAUAACACUUAGAAAUGACUGCUAAUACCGAAUGUUGUAGAGUUUCCACAUGGAAAUCCUACUAAAGGUGGCCUCUACUUGUAAGCUAUCGCUUUACGAUGGGUCUGCGUCUGAUUAGCUAGUUGGUGGGGUAACGGCCUACCAAGGCGACGAUCAGUAGCCGGUCUGAGAGGAUGAACGGCCACAUUGGAACUGAGACACGGUCCAG